Molecule: long non-coding RNA, 1508 nt
Filed under: Marmota monax (woodchuck)
Lineage: Eukaryota; Metazoa; Chordata; Mammalia; Rodentia; Sciuridae
Source: RNAcentral
CAAGUAGUCAAACUACUGGGCAUAUCAGCACAACUGAACACACUUCUUAUAUUUGAAUAAUCCUCCACCUCCUGUGUAUUUCUUACACAGGGCUAUGAUGAAGACCCCCGGCAAUCACAUACACCAGAUCAAGGAUUUGGAUCAGGAGCAAAGAAACGUGUGCCACCUAGAGUCCACUCUGGGAAGAACAGCAGCAAGUAAAGCCAGUUUCCACAGGGAGGUGCCAGAUCCCAGCACCACCAAUGAGGCUGAGCCCAGCACAACCAGCAGGGCCCUUUCUCCCAGAACAGUUUUUAGUUGUGAUUCUGGGUACUGGACUGGGGAACUGCCAGCCUGCUGUCUGAUCUCCUGUGAAGUUCCAUAAUCUUUAACAGAUUCUUUUUCUGUCCAUCAAUCGCAAUAGAUUAUAACCAAACUCUGACAAAGAAAGGUAGGAUAUUUAAUUUCAGUGUACUUCAUAGAUCAUGCCUCAUGUCUUAGAGAAAGGAGCUAAAAGCCAGAAUGGUAAGAAUUAUUUUAAGAAAUAAUUCUGUGAGACUUGGGAUUUGAACAGUAAUACUUUGGUCCCGAGGCAACAAAGUUCUACAUCAAGAAGGAAAACCAGCACUUGUCCAUUUUUCCCUGGAACAUAGCAGAGUCCUGACUCCAUGAAAGCUCUGGCAAAAUGGUCUCUAAACAGCUUUUAGAAACAUUGUAAGCUGAUUAGUGAAAUUUUAAAAGCAAAAGGAGAACAGAGAGGUGAGGAUGGGAUCGAGCAAGAACCCUGCUCCCUACUGCCUGUAAGUCCAGGCUCCAGAGCAACACAUGAUCCAGCUCCUGUCGUCUGCUCAAUCUUUCCUUAAAAUAAAGCAAUUUACUAGACCCAAAAUACCACAAAAGAAUUAAAGCAAAAUAUUCCUGACACCCUAGCCAGGCACUGGCCACAAAGAAGCAAACAUAGUUUCUCAUGAGCUCCUUGCUCAUCCUGGCCUUCCAUAAUUUGUGUCCUUGUCUUAAAGGUCUUUCUACUGUUUCUUCUGGAUAACUGCUGCUUUCCAAAGCUGAGGUCUCAGACAUCCCUCCUUCACUCCUCCCCUACAUCUGACUGUCUUUGGUGCUCCUUUUCUGCCCUUCUGGUUACCCUGCUGCUAACUCCCAUUGCCAUGCUGAGGACACUGCCCUGUAGCUGUCAGUAACUUGGAUUCUCCCUUACUUAGUAGAUCUUUGAAGAGAGGUAUCUUAGCCUUUAUAUUUCCUAAUGCUUAACCUAGAGCUUGACAUACUUUGGUUCUCAAUACAUUUUUAUUCUAAUUGCCCCUCAGUGUCCUCAGGAAUUGGUUCCAGGAUCUCUUGCAGAUACCAAAAUCUUAGGAUUAUCAAGUCCUUAAAUAAAAUGGCAUAGUUUCAAAUAACCUAUGCAAUCCCCCUGUGUACUUUGAAUCAUCUCUGGAUCACUUGUAAUAACUAAUACAGAUGAGCUGAGCACUAUCUACGCAGUCACUAUACUAUGUUAUUUAGGGAAUAAUGGC